This is a non-coding RNA of Xylariaceae sp. FL1651, 122 nucleotides long. The record is from the annotation of a GenBank genome assembly. Lineage: Eukaryota; Fungi; Ascomycota; Sordariomycetes; Xylariales; Xylariaceae.
GGUGAGAUGGCCGAGUGGUUAUGGCGCCGUGUUCAGGCUAAUUUGGCAGUUGAGAUUCUAUGGUCUUCCUGUUGAAAUUCGCGGUGGAGCAAUCCGCGUGGGUUCGAGUCCCACUCUCAUCA